This 365-nucleotide long non-coding RNA is filed under the name Sus scrofa (pig). Its description in RNAcentral is "lncRNA (ENSSSCG00035038172.1, ENSSSCG00055030862.1)". The record is from RNAcentral. Lineage: Eukaryota; Metazoa; Chordata; Mammalia; Artiodactyla; Suidae.
UUAGACAAUGAGCAGAGAGGACCUGGGUUUCCAGGGCAACAGGGAGGGAGAACCACAGGGCACAGGGGAGCUGAGAGAUGAGGGGAGAUGUAAUGGUGAUGGAAGAACUGGAAGGAGGAAAACUAAAAUUAAAAAAUGAUUUGGCUCCACUGAAUGGGCUGCUAUUGCUGAAAAGCAACACAAAUUCUACACGGAGGCAAGCCUUCUGCAGGAGUAACCUGUUCCCCUUGGGGCACCAGUCUCCAUCAGAGUCUGGGAUGUCACCUGUCAUCAACCACACCUAUGCAAAACUCAGGAGGAGUAAAAGUGAAAUAAAGACGAUCGACACUUUCACGGCAGCUCAGGCAGGAUUUGCCACCAAAUGA